UUGAGCGGAGAUAUAUGGAGCUUGCUUUAUAUAACUUAGCAGCGAACGGGUGAGUAACACGUAGAUAAUCUAUCCUAUACUGGGGGAUAGCCCGAUGAAAGUUGGAUUAAUACCGCAUAUAGCUAUAUAGUUGCAUGAUUAUGUAGUGAAAGAUUUAUUGGUAUAGGAGGAGUCUGCGGCACAUUAGCUAGUAGGUGAGGUAAAGGCUUACCUAGGCGACGAUGUGUAGCCGGUCUGAGAGGAUGAACGGCCACAAUGGAACUGAGACACGGUCCAUACCCCUACGGGAGGCAGCAGUGGGGAAUAUUGCACAAUGGGGGAAACCCUGAUGCAGCAACGCCGCGUGAGUGAAGAAGGUUUUCGGAUUGUAAAGCUCUGUUAGCAGGGAAGAGGAAGGACGGUACCUGCAGAGGAAGCCACGGCUAACUACGUGCCAGCAGCCGCGGUAAUACGUAGGUGGCAAGCGUUGUUCGGAAUAACUGGGCGUAAAGGAUGCGUAGGCGGUUAAACAAGUUAUAUGUUAAAUAUAUAGGCUUAACCUGUAGAAAGCAUAUAAAACUGUUUAACUAGAGUGCAGGAGAGGUAAGUGGAAUUCCUAGUGUAGCGGUGAAAUGCGUAGAGAUUAGGAAGAACACCAGUGGCGAAGGCGACUUACUGGACCGUAACUGACGCUGAGGCAUGAGAGCAUGGGGAGCAAACAGGAUUAGAUACCCUGGUAGUCCAUGCUGUAAACGAUGGGUACUAGGUGUGGGUUGUGAAUAACAAUUCGUGC
RNAcentral lists this ribosomal RNA (772 nucleotides) under uncultured bacterium. RNAcentral's name for it is "bacterial SSU rRNA". It matches the Rfam family "Bacterial small subunit ribosomal RNA", at positions 62 to 846 of the family's 1533-position model. The record is from RNAcentral.